RNAcentral lists this ribosomal RNA (550 nucleotides) under uncultured bacterium. Its description in RNAcentral is "bacterial SSU rRNA". It matches the Rfam family "Bacterial small subunit ribosomal RNA", at positions 355 to 896 of the family's 1533-position model. The record is from RNAcentral.
UAGGGAAUCUUCGGCAAUGGACGGAAGUCUGACCGAGCAACGCCGCGUGAGUGAAGAAGGUUUUCGGAUCGUAAAGCUCUGUUGUAAGAGAAGAACGAGUGUGAGAGUGGAAAGUUCACACUGUGACGGUAUCUUACCAGAAAGGGACGGCUAACUACGUGCCAGCAGCCGCGGUAAUACGUAGGUCCCGAGCGUUGUCCGGAUUUAUUGGGCGUAAAGCGAGCGCAGGCGGUUAGAUAAGUCUGAAGUUAAAGGCUGUGGCUUAACCAUAGUACGCUUUGGAAACUGUUUAACUUGAGUGCAAGAGGGGAGAGUGGAAUUCCAUGUGUAGCGGUGAAAUGCGUAGAUAUAUGGAGGAACACCGGUGGCGAAAGCGGCUCUCUGGCUUGUAACUGACGCUGAGGCUCGAAAGCGCGGGGAGCAAACAGGAUUAGAUACCCUGGUAGUCCACGCCGUAAACGAUGAGUGCUAGGUGUUAGACCCUUUCCGGGGUUUAGUGCCGCAGCUAACGCAUUAAGCACUCCGCCUGGGGAGUACGACCGCAAGGUUG